Molecule: ribosomal RNA, 497 nt
Filed under: uncultured bacterium
Lineage: Bacteria
Description: partial 16S ribosomal RNA
Rfam family: Bacterial small subunit ribosomal RNA
Source: RNAcentral
GAUAAACGCUGGCGGCGUGCCUAAUACAUGCAAGUCGAGCGAACGGACGAGAAGCUUGCUUCUCUGAUGUUAGCGGCGGACGGGUGAGUAACACGUGGAUAACCUACCUAUAAGACUGGGAUAACUUCGGGAAACCGGAGCUAAUACCGGAUAAUAUUUUGAACCGCAUGGUUCAAAAGUGAAAGACGGUCUUGCUGUCACUUAUAGAUGGAUCCGCGCUGCAUUAGCUAGUUGGUAAGGUAACGGCUUACCAAGGCAACGAUGCAUAGCCGACCUGAGAGGGUGAUCGGCCACACUGGAACUGAGACACGGUCCAGACUCCUACGGGAGGCAGCAGUAGGGAAUCUUCCGCAAUGGGCGAAAGCCUGACGGAGCAACGCCGCGUGAGUGAUGAAGGUCUUCGGAUCGUAAAACUCUGUUAUUAGGGAAGAACAUAUGUGUAAGUAACUGUGAACAUCUUGACGGUACCUAAUCAGAAAGCCACGGCUAACUACGUG